Molecule: unclassified non-coding RNA, 253 nt
Filed under: uncultured Sporolactobacillaceae bacterium
Lineage: Bacteria; Bacillati; Bacillota; Bacilli; Caryophanales; Sporolactobacillaceae
Description: contains 16S-23S intergenic spacer region
Rfam family: Bacterial small subunit ribosomal RNA
Source: RNAcentral
CACGUAGGGGGCAAGCGUUGUCCGGAAUGAUUGGGCGUAAAGGGCGCGCAGGCGGCCUCUUAAGUCUGAUGUGAAAGCCCACGGCUCAACCGUGGAGGGACAUUGGAAACGGGGGGGCUUGAGUGCAGGAGAGGGGAGUGGAAUUCCACGUGUAGCCGUGAAAUGCGUAGAGAUGUGGAGGAACACCAGUGGCGAAGGCGGCUCUCUGGCCUGUGACUGACGCUGAGGCGCGAAAGCGUGGGGAGCAAACAGG